GCAGCACAGGUCUGGGCAACUUCAGUCUGUUCCCAGGAAGAAAUCAGAAAUGAAAGACUGGUGCUGACAAGUUCCAGGACCUGGGCUCAGCAGAUAAUCUGAAGCAGGAUUUCCAACCAAGGAGAUGAGCCAAGCUGUUGGCUGGAAGAGCUGGGAUCCGAGGCAGGGUGAAUAGACGGAAACCAGGAUGGGGAGCGAGGCCGAACCGCAGGCCUGAGGGCCGCAACCAUAUUUAACCAGGAGACUUGGAUCUGGAUUCUCUGGAUACUAGGGAGUGCAAGAGAGAACAAAAGCAAGGAGAGUGGCAGAGGGAGAUGGAGAAGCAGACUUCCUUCUGAGCAGGGAGCCUGGCCCCAGGUUCCACCAGGCUUGACCCCAGAACCCUGGGAUCAUGACCUGAACUGAAGGCAGACAUUUAACCCUCUGAGCCACCUAUGUGCCCCAGGUAACUCUAUCUUUAAUCAAGACUACAUGAUUUUAAAUUCUGGCUCUGUUUCUUGCCAUGUAUGUUUUGGGGCAAGUUAUGCCUCAGUUUGUUUAUCUAUAAAAUGGGACCAGUAGUGCCCAUGUGGUUUAAACAAAUUACAAUGUGAAAGGCUCAUAGUAUAUCCAUAGACAUCAUAGAAAUGUAUUUUUAAAAUCAAUUUCCAGAUUUUCUUCCUUAAAGAUUUUGUGAGACUCCUUAAGCCAGAAGGAUAAAGGAGUGAAUAACUCAGGUUUGGCCAGAUCUGGACACUUCUUCCUCGACUGUCCCAGCUCUGCCAACCAUUCUCUGUUUUCUCAUGUCUAUCCCCACACCAUUUCCCUGUUUGAAUUGUUACCUCUUUUCUUCAGUGCCUUAUAAGGAUUUUAAGUAGUAUUUAUUCUUUGCAUUGGCAAAGGUUCAAAGUUCACCUAAAUACAAGGUUUAAAGAGGCUUCAUUUCCCAGCAAUAUAGUUUGCAAGCAGUUGACUUCCCGCUUUACUUGUAAACUGUGGGGAAGGUUCUUAUUUAUUUUUGGCUCUUUACUCUUAACCUGAGUAUCCUACCCUAAGUGUCUCUGUCACAUGGCGCUGGAGGAACUCAUUUAUUCUUCUCCAUUUGCUUGAUGGGGUCCAAACUGAAACAGCCCGCACCUUGGUACAGUGCCUUGACUCUUCCCUGCUGACUCUUCUAUGUUCUACUAAUGCUUUCUUUGAUUAAGCCAGUCAUGCUUGGAACCGUGUAGGCUACAUGGAUAGUAAGCUCCUAAGUCCUGAAAUGCUCUGUUUAACAGCAUGACCCAGAGGACUUUGGCUCACAGAUUUUUUUCACUGAAGAAACAAUUAGGUUGGCAUAAAGAUAAAAUAUGUUUUAUUGUCAACUAUCCACCAAAUACAUCAAAUCAUUCUUAGCCAAAGAAGACAAAGGGGGAAUUAUGUUUACUAAGAGCUUACUGUGUAGCAGAAACUAGUUACUUUAAGGUCUAUUUUGGAGUAGGUCAAGGCUGGAGCAUGACAUAAGGUCCUCUGA
Molecule: long non-coding RNA, 1492 nt
Organism: Mustela putorius furo (domestic ferret)
Lineage: Eukaryota; Metazoa; Chordata; Mammalia; Carnivora; Mustelidae
Source: Ensembl